RNAcentral lists this ribosomal RNA (497 nucleotides) under uncultured bacterium. Its description in RNAcentral is "partial 16S ribosomal RNA". It matches the Rfam family "Bacterial small subunit ribosomal RNA", at positions 28 to 507 of the family's 1533-position model. The record is from RNAcentral.
GAUGAACGCUGGCGGCGUGCCUAAUACAUGCAAGUCGAGCGAACGGACGAGAAGCUUGCUUUUCUGAUGUUAGCGGCGGACGGGUGAGUAACACGUGGAUAACCUACCUAUAAGACUGGGAUAACUUCGGGAAACCGGAGCUAAUACCGGAUAAUAUUUUGAACCGCAUGGUUCAAAAGUAAAAGACGGUCUUGCUGUCACUUAUAGAUGGAUCCGCGCUGCAUUAGCUAGUUGGUAAGGUAACGGCUUACCAAGGCAACGAUGCAUAGCCGACCUGAGAGGGUGAUCGGCCACACUGGAACUGAGAAACGGUCCAGACUCCUACGGGAGGCAGCAGUAGGGAAUCUUCCGCAAUGGGCGAAAGCCUGACGGAGCAACGCCGCGUGAGUGAUGAAGGUCUUCGGAUCGUAAAACUCUGUUAUUAGGGAAGAACAUAUGUGUAAGUAACUGUGCACAUCUUGACGGUACCUAAUCAGAAAGCCACGGCUAACUACGUG